This 265-nucleotide ribosomal RNA is filed under the name uncultured bacterium. RNAcentral describes it as "partial 16S ribosomal RNA". It matches the Rfam family "Bacterial small subunit ribosomal RNA", at positions 793 to 1055 of the family's 1533-position model. The record is from RNAcentral.
GUCCACGCCGUAAACGAUGGGUGCUAGGUGUCGCGGGCUUUGACCCCUGCGGUGCCGUAGCUAACGCAUUAAGCACCCCGCCUGGGGAGUACGGCCGCAAGGCUAAAACUCAAAGGAAUUGACGGGGCCCGCACAAGCGGUGGAGCAUGUGGUUCAAUUCGACGCAACGCGCAGAACCUUACCUGGGCUAGAAAAUGCAGGAACCUGGUUGAAAAAUCGGGGUGCUCUUCGGAGAACCUGUAGUUAGGUGCUGCAUGGCUGUCGU